UACGAAGGGGGCUAGCGUUGCUCGGAAUCACUGGGCGUAAAGCGCACGUAGGCGGCUCUUUAAGUCAGGGGUGAAAUCCUGGAGCUCAACUCCAGAACUGCCUUUGAUACUGAGGAUCUUGAGUCCGGGAGAGGUGAGUGGAACUCCGAGUGUAGAGGUGAAAUUCGUAGAUAUUCGGAAGAACACCAGUGGCGAAGGCGGCUCACUGGCCCGGUACUGACGCUGAGGUGCGAAAGCGUGGGGAGCAAACAGG
Molecule: ribosomal RNA, 253 nt
Filed under: uncultured bacterium
Lineage: Bacteria
Description: partial 16S ribosomal RNA
Rfam family: Bacterial small subunit ribosomal RNA
Source: RNAcentral